Molecule: non-coding RNA, 1015 nt
Organism: Danio rerio (zebrafish)
Lineage: Eukaryota; Metazoa; Chordata; Actinopteri; Cypriniformes; Danionidae
Source: RefSeq, a predicted model, not a curated record
UAUUAUUCACAACGUUUGUGAAGUCUAAAUGUACACUGUCUCAAACUGAAUGAGUGUUAUUUUUGUUGUAGGUGUGUUGGUGUAAAAUUGAUGCUGACUGAACUCAGGCAGUUGUGCUGGACCUUCUGUACUUUAUACAGGAGAUGACAGUAAACUUUCAAGUUUAAGAGAACUCAGGCAGUUGUGCUGGACCAUCUGUACUUCAUACAGGGGAUGACAGUAAACUUACAAGUUUAAGAGCCACCUGAUGAUGAGAAAGACAUUUUCAAUGUGGGCAUCUUGAUGAAGAAGAGUCCACAGUCACAAUAACAAGAUCAUUGAGCUGUCCCCUAAUUGUGGUCAGCUACAUGUUUAGUCUCUUAUGUGCUAAACAUUAUGUAGCCUAAGGAAGCAGCCCUGACUCUGUAGUUUAUAUAAAGGAGCAUGCCGAGUAACUAUCCAGAACGUAGGUCCAAAGCAGAAAAAAGGGCACCAAGCAGAAACAUACCAUCUGAACUCCUUCGAUUCCUGUCAGACCAGAAAGACUUUCAGAAUCCUUGGAAGAUUUAAAGCCAUUGAAGUAUCAGUAUUGGAGAGGAAGAAGACCCAGUUGUAUCGUCUAUUUCCUGCCAUCUUGCAGUUAACCUGGUUUCUUAAUGUAAAGUACUUGUAAUUUGCCCACUUGUCCUCAAUUAUCUUAAAGCUAACAUUUAAAACUAAUUUGCUAUGAGAUUAUUUGCCAAGACUUGUCACUGUGCGAUUCACAUGUCAAUAUGUAUUAUUGUGUGUAUAACUAGCUAUUUGGAAUUCAAAUGAUUUGUAUUCAUUAAAAAAUCUGUUUUAAUUGCAAAGUUGUUUUUGUACUAAUCAUUGUAAGUUCAUAGAUAACAAACUAUUUACUGCUUCUCUACACAUACAGUAUAGAAUAAAUGUUUUGUUUUACUAUUGUAAACCAUUAAUAGUGUAUUUCCCAUAUGUAUAUGUUUGUCCUUACCAAUUGCCAUUUCUAUGCUGCUUGAAGAGCAUUAAAUUAGUA